RNAcentral lists this ribosomal RNA (607 nucleotides) under Salmonella enterica. Its description in RNAcentral is "partial 23S ribosomal RNA". It matches the Rfam family "Bacterial large subunit ribosomal RNA", at positions 895 to 1503 of the family's 2925-position model. Lineage: Bacteria; Pseudomonadati; Pseudomonadota; Gammaproteobacteria; Enterobacterales; Enterobacteriaceae. RNAcentral also lists the same sequence under 1 other name. The record is from RNAcentral.
UCCGGGGGUAGAGCACUGUUUCGGCUAGGGGGCCAUCCCGGCUUACCAACCCGAUGCAAACUGCGAAUACCGGAGAAUGUUAUCACGGGAGACACACGGCGGGUGCUAACGUCCGUCGUGAAGAGGGAAACAACCCAGACCGCCAGCUAAGGUCCCAAAGUCAUGGUUAAGUGGGAAACGAUGUGGGAAGGCCCAGACAGCCAGGAUGUUGGCUUAGAAGCAGCCAUCAUUUAAAGAAAGCGUAAUAGCUCACUGGUCGAGUCGGCCUGCGCGGAAGAUGUAACGGGGCUAAACCAUGCACCGAAGCUGCGGCAGCGACGCUGAUGCGUUGUUGGGUAGGGGAGCGUUCUGUAAGCCUGCGAAGGUGGCCUGUGAGGGUUGCUGGAGGUAUCAGAAGUGCGAAUGCUGACAUAAGUAACGAUAAAGCGGGUGAAAAGCCCGCUCGCCGGAAGACCAAGGGUUCCUGUCCAACGUUAAUCGGGGCAGGGUGAGUCGACCCCUAAGGCGAGGCCGAAAGGCGUAGUCGAUGGGAAACGGGUUAAUAUUCCCGUACUUGGUGUUACUGCGAAGGGGGGACGGAGAAGGCUAUGUUGGCCGGGCGACGGUU